CGGUGGAGUAUGUGGUUUAAUUCGAUGCAACGCGAAGAACCUUACCUGGUCUUGACAUCCCGGAGACCCUUAGGAAACUAGGGGUGCUUCCAUCUGGAAGAAUCUGGAGACAGGUGCUGCAUGGCUGUCGUCAGCUCGUGUCGUGAGAUGUUGGGUUAAGUCCCGCAACGAGCGCAACCCUUGCCUUUAGUUGCCAGCAGUUCGGCUGGGCACUCUAAAGGGACUGCCGGUGUUAAACCGGAGGAAGGUGGGGAUGACGUCAAGUCCUCAUGGCCUUUAUGACCAGGGCUACACACGUACUACAAUGGCCGAUACAAAGGGCAGCGACACUGCGAGGUGAAGCCAAUCCCGUAAAAUCGGUCUCAGUCCGGAUUGGAGUCUGCAACUCGACUCCAUGAAGUUGGAAUCGCUAGUAAUCGUGGAUCAGCAUGCCACGGUGAAUACGUUCCCGGGCCUU
This 457-nucleotide ribosomal RNA is filed under the name uncultured Desulfobulbus sp. RNAcentral's name for it is "bacterial SSU rRNA". It matches the Rfam family "Bacterial small subunit ribosomal RNA", at positions 930 to 1382 of the family's 1533-position model. Lineage: Bacteria; Pseudomonadati; Thermodesulfobacteriota; Desulfobulbia; Desulfobulbales; Desulfobulbaceae. The record is from RNAcentral.